ACGAACGCUGGCGGCAGGCCUAACACAUGCAAGUCGAGCGCGCCUUCGGGUGAGCGGCGGACGGGUUAGUAACGCGUGGGAGCGUACCCUUCUCUACGGAAUAGCCUUUGGAAACGAAGAGUAAUACCGUAUACGCCCUUUGGGGGAAAGAUUUAUCGGAGAAGGAUCGGCCCGCGUUAGAUUAGAUAGUUGGUGGGGUAACGGCCUACCAAGUCUACGAUCUAUAGCUGGUUUUAGAGGAUGAUCAGCAACACUGGGACUGAGACACGGCCCAGACUCCUACGGGAGGCAGCAGUGGGGAAUCUUAGACAAUGGGCGCAAGCCUGAUCUAGCCAUGCCGCGUGAGUGAUGAAGGCCUUAGGGUCGUAAAGCUCUUUCGCCUGUGAUGAUAAUGACAGUAGCAGGUAAAGAAACCCCGGCUAACUCCGUGCCAGCAGCCGCGGUAAUACGGAGGGGGUUAGCGUUGUUCGGAAUUACUGGGCGUAAAGCGCACGUAGGCGGAUUGGAAAGUUGGGGGUGAAAUCCCGGGGCUCAACCCCGGAACUGCCUCCAAAACUAUCAGUCUAGAGUUCGAGAGAGGUGAGUGGAAUUCCAAGUGUAGAGGUGAAAUUCGUAGAUAUUUGGAGGAACACCAGUGGCGAAGGCGGCUCACUGGCUCGAUACUGACGCUGAGGUGCGAAAGUGUGGGGAGCAAACAGGAUUAGAUACCCUGGUAGUCCACACCGUAAACGAUGAAUGCCAGUCGUCGGGCAGUAUACUGUUCGGUGACACACCUAACGGAUUAAGCAUUCCGCCUGGGGAGUACGGUCGCAAGAUUAAAACUCAAAUGAAUUGACGGGGACCCGCACAAGUAGUGGAGCAUGUGGUUUAAUUCGAAGAUACGCGCAGAACCUUACCAACACUUGACAUGUUCGUCGCGACUUUAAGAGAUUAAAGUUUUCGGUUCGGCCGGACGAAACACAGGUGCUGCAUGGCUGUCGUCAGCUCGUGUCGUGAGAUGUUGGGUUAAGUCCCGCAACGAGCGCAACCCUCACUUUUAGUUGCCAUCAUUAAGUUGGGCACUCUGAAAGAACUGCCAGUGAUAAGCUGGAGGAAGGUGGGGAUGACGUCAAGUCCUCAUGGCCCUUACGUGUUGGGCUACACACGUGCUACAAUGGCAUCUACAACAGGAAGCAAAACGGCGACGUUAAGCAAAUCCUUAAAAGAUGCCUCAGUUCGGAUUGCACUCUGCAACUCGAGUGCAUGAAGCUGGAAUUACUAGUAAUCGUGGAUCAGCGUGCCACGGUGAAUGCGUUCCCGGGUCUUGCACACACCGC
RNAcentral lists this ribosomal RNA (1316 nucleotides) under uncultured Alphaproteobacteria bacterium. Its description in RNAcentral is "partial 16S ribosomal RNA". It matches the Rfam family "Bacterial small subunit ribosomal RNA", at positions 29 to 1393 of the family's 1533-position model. Lineage: Bacteria; Pseudomonadati; Pseudomonadota; Alphaproteobacteria. The record is from RNAcentral.